This 23-nucleotide microRNA is filed under the name Dasypus novemcinctus (nine-banded armadillo). Its description in RNAcentral is "dno-miR-509b-3p". Its record names the gene dno-miR-509b-3p. The record is from miRBase by way of RNAcentral. Lineage: Eukaryota; Metazoa; Chordata; Mammalia; Cingulata; Dasypodidae.
UGACUGGCACCUCUGUGAGUGGA